CCUACGGGGGGCAGCAGUGGGGAAUAUUGGACAAUGGGGGGAACCCUGAUCCAGCCAUGCCGCGUGUGUGAAGAAGGCCCUCGGGUUGUAAAGCACUUUCAGUGAGGAAGAACGCCUGGUGGUUAAUACCCAUCAGGAAAGACAUCACUCACAGAAGAAGCACCGGCUAACUCCGUGCCAGCAGCCGCGGUAAUACGGAGGGUGCGAGCGUUAAUCGGAAUUACUGUGCGUAAAGCGCGCGUAGGUGGCUUGAUAAGCCGGUUGUGAAAGCCCCGGGCUCAACCUGGGAACGGCAUCCGGAACUGUCAAGCUAGAGUGCAGGAGAGGAAGGUAGAAUUCCCGGUGUAGCGGUGAAAUGCGUAGAGAUCGGGAGGAAUACCAGUGGCGAAGGCGGCCUUCUGGACUGACACUGACACUGAGGUGCGAAAGCGUGGGUAGCAAACAGGAUUAGAUACCCUUGUAGUC
RNAcentral lists this ribosomal RNA (465 nucleotides) under Vreelandella stevensii. RNAcentral's name for it is "partial 16S ribosomal RNA". It matches the Rfam family "Bacterial small subunit ribosomal RNA", at positions 338 to 795 of the family's 1533-position model. The record is from RNAcentral. Lineage: Bacteria; Pseudomonadati; Pseudomonadota; Gammaproteobacteria; Oceanospirillales; Halomonadaceae.